UUGAUUGAUUUGAAGACUUCAACUUGUAGACUUGAAGAAUUAGGAAAACUCAACUAGCAGACUUAAAGAAUUUGAAGACAUCAACU
RNAcentral lists this microRNA precursor (86 nucleotides) under Solanum lycopersicum (tomato). RNAcentral's name for it is "MIR8024 microRNA precursor family". It matches the Rfam family "MIR8024 microRNA precursor family". Lineage: Eukaryota; Viridiplantae; Streptophyta; Magnoliopsida; Solanales; Solanaceae. The record is from Rfam by way of RNAcentral.